UGGGGGAUAUUGCACAAUGGAGGAAACUCUGAUGCAGCGACGCCGCGUGAGGGAAGAAGGUCUUCGGAUUGUAAACCUCUGUCUUCAGGGACGAAACAAAUGACGGUACCUGAGGAGGAAGCCACGGCUAACUACGUGCCAGCAGCCGCGGUAAUACGUAGGUGGCAAGCGUUGUCCGGAAUUACUGGGUGUAAAGGGAGCGCAGGCGGGGAAGCAAGUUGGGAGUGAAAUCUAUGGGCUUAACCCAUAAAUUGCUUUCAAAACUGUUUUUCUUGAGUAGUGCAGAGGUAGGCGGAAUUCCCGGUGUAGCGGUGGAAUGCGUAGAUAUCGGGAGGAACACCAGUGGCGAAGGCGGCCUACUGGGCACCAACUGACGCUGAGGCUCGAAAGUAUGGGUAGCAAACA
This 405-nucleotide ribosomal RNA is filed under the name uncultured prokaryote. RNAcentral's name for it is "bacterial SSU rRNA". It matches the Rfam family "Bacterial small subunit ribosomal RNA", at positions 355 to 774 of the family's 1533-position model. The record is from RNAcentral.